UACGUAGGGUGCAAGCGUUAAUCGGAAUUACUGGGCGUAAAGCGCGCGCAGGCGGUCCUUUAAGUCAGGGGUGAAAGCCCAGAGCUCAACUCUGGAACUGCCUUUGAAACUAGAGGACUUGGGUACGGGAGAGGUGAGUGGAAUUCCGAGUGUAGAGGUGAAAUUCGUAGAUAUUCGGAAGAACACCAGUGGCGAAGGCGGCUCACUGGCCCGUUACCGACGCUCAGGCGCGACAGCGUGGGGAGCAAACAGG
RNAcentral lists this ribosomal RNA (253 nucleotides) under uncultured bacterium. RNAcentral describes it as "partial 16S ribosomal RNA". It matches the Rfam family "Bacterial small subunit ribosomal RNA", at positions 524 to 776 of the family's 1533-position model. The record is from RNAcentral.